RNA transcript from Cicer arietinum (chickpea), 1542 nucleotides. It is a transcript of the gene named probable protein S-acyltransferase 12, with no coding region annotated. NCBI's taxonomy places the organism in Eukaryota, Viridiplantae, Streptophyta, Magnoliopsida, Fabales, Fabaceae. The record is from RefSeq and is a predicted model, not a curated record.
AAAUAAAAAAGAAUAAUGUGUAUAAAGAGUGUAUCAAGAUAUAGAAGUUGUUGGGUGGGAGAAGUGGAAGCUGAAAAGCAAAGUGGUUUGUUGUUAUAUAUGCAAUCUGAGAGAGAACUUGAAGAGAAGGAGAGUAAAGUUAAAAGGCAAAGCAAAUCCAAUUUAUCAAUCCUGGCUUGGGAUAAUGAUAUAUGGAAACGGCUUUUCCCGGCACGAAGAAGCUAUAAGCGGCUUUCUCCAUUCCCUUAUUCAGCAAAAAUGAGAAACAUAAACUUAUUUAAACUCUGUUCGGCUCUCAGAGUUAUUGGAUACUUUAUGAUCCUUUUAUUCGCUGCUAUUGUUUUCCUCACUUACUACGCCGUCGUUUUCGUUACAUGGGGUCCUCUCUUGUUCCAUUCCCCAUUCCGAUUCUCAUCUUCCUCCUUCUUCGCUUUCUUUAUUCUCCUCCUCUUUCACACUCUCCUUGUGCUACUAACGUGGUCUUACUUUAUGGUGGUAGUCAACGAUCCUGGUUCUGUUCCUUCAAAUUGGAGACCAAAUCAACAACUUCUAGAAGUAGAGGUUCAAGACCAUAAUUUACAUGUUCCUGUUGCGCCUUCUAAUGGAAUUGAGCUUCAAUCGGAUGCCAGAACAACCACACCCUCCGCUGGAUACUGUACUCGAUGCCAAAACGGCAAGCCGCCGCGUUGUCAUCACUGCUCUAUUUGUCAAAGGUGUGUUCUUAAAAUGGAUCAUCAUUGUAUUUGGGUCGUCAAUUGUGUUGGGGCACGAAACUACAAGUAUUUUCUCCUCUUCUUGCUGUAUACAUUCCUUGAGACAACACUGGAUUGCUUAGCUCUGAUCCCUAGUUUUAUCAGAUUCUUUGGUGGAACCAAGUAUAGGCACCCAUUGACUCCUGGGGGCUUUGCUGCCAUUUUCUUGGCUUCUAAUUGUGUGGCUUGAUGCAGUUCUCAAUUUAGCCUUUGCGCUGAGUCUUCUCUGUUUCGUAGUUAUGCAUUUAUCUCUUCUGUUAAGCAACACAACUUCAGUUGAGGUUCAUGAAAAGAAAAAAGGGGUCAGGUGGAGGUAUGACUUGGGAAGGAAGAAGAAUUUUGAGCAGGUAUUUGGCACAAAGAAGGCCCUAUGGCUGUUCCCAUUGUUUUCAGAAGAGGAUUUAGACAACAUACCUGCACUAAGGGGCAUUGAGUUCCCAACACGUUCAGAUGUUGAUGUAUGAAGAUCUGGGAGCUUGUGAGUUAUAGGUUUGAACUUUGAUUUUUAUUAGAAAAGAUAUGUCAUUUUCAUCUUACUUCAUAUGGUUCGGCAUAGGACAUGGAAAUGUUGCAUUGUGCUUGGUCAUAUAUAUAUGUCUAAAAUGAAAGAAUGGUCUAGUAGAUUUAUGUAUGUAUGUAAUCUUAAUUCUUAUUAUAUUCAAUUUGUAGUUGUAUUGAUUAUUGUUGUUCUCAGUUUUAAGAAUCUGCCAUCUGAAGGAGAUACAAUGUAGAUUUGCUUUCGUAUGUGAAAUUAAUUGAUCAGAGUGGAACUUUUACUUUUAUAAGUCAA